Molecule: ribosomal RNA, 758 nt
Filed under: marine CFB-group bacterium SY204
Lineage: Bacteria; Pseudomonadati; Bacteroidota
Description: bacterial SSU rRNA
Rfam family: Bacterial small subunit ribosomal RNA
Source: RNAcentral
AGGGGUAACAAGGGAGAGCUUGCUCUCCUGUUGACGACCGGCGCACGGGUGCGUAACGCGUAUACAAUCUGCCCCCUACCGCGGGAUAGCCCAGAGAAAUUUGGAUUAAUACCGCAUGGUACCGUAUCCCGGCCUCGGGUUUACGGUUAAAGGUAACGGUAGGGGAUGAGUAUGCGUCCCAUUANCNNNNNGGUGAGGUAACGGCUCACCGAGGCUACGAUGGGUAGGGGCCCUGAGAGGGGGAUCCCCCACACUGGUACUGAGACACGGACCAGACUCCUACGGGAGGCAGCAGUGAGGAAUAUUGGACAAUGGGGGCAACCCUGAUCCAGCCAUGCCGCGUGCAGGAAGACUGCCCUAUGGGUUGUAAACUGCUUUUAUACGGGAAGAAACACUCCCUCGUGAGGGGGCUUGACGGUACCGUAAGAAUAAGGACCGGCUAACUCCGUGCCAGCAGCCGCGGUAAUACGGAGGGUCCGAGCGUUAUCCGGAAUCAUUGGGUUUAAAGGGUCCGUAGGCUGGCGGCUAAGUCAGUGGUGAAAGUCUGUGGCUCAACCAUAGAAUUGCCAUUGAUACUGGUCGUCUUGAAUUGGUGUGAAGCGGUUGGAAUGAGCAGUGUAGCGGUGAAAUGCAUAGAUAUUGCUCAGAACAUCGAUUGCGAAGGCAGAUCGCUAACACCAUAUUGACGCUNANGGACGAAAGCGUGGGGAGCGAACGGGAUUAGAUACCCCGGUAGUCCACGCCGUANCGAUGGAUAC